GACGAACGCUGGCGGCGUGCCUAAUACAUGCAAGUAGAACGCUGAAGGAGGAGCUUGCUUCUCUGGAUGAGUUGCGAACGGGUGAGUAACGCGUAGGUAACCUGCCUGGUAGCGGGGGAUAACUAUUGGAAACGAUAGCUAAUACCGCAUAAGAGUAGAUGUUGCAUGACAUUUGCUUAAAAGGUGCAAUUGCAUCACUACCAGAUGGACCUGCGUUGUAUUAGCUAGUUGGUGGGGUAACGGCUUACCAAGGCGACGAUACAUAGCCGACCUGAGAGGGUGAUCGGCCACACUGGGACUGAGACACGGCCCAGACUCCUACGGGAGGCAGCAGUAGGGAAUCUUCGGCAAUGGACGGAAGUCUGACCGAGCAACGCCGCGUGAGUGAAGAAGGUUUUCGGAUCGUAAAGCUCUGUUGUAAGAGAAGAACGAGUGUGAGAGUGGAAAGUUCACACUGUGACGGUAUCUUAACAGAAAGGGACGGCUAACUACGUG
RNAcentral lists this ribosomal RNA (495 nucleotides) under uncultured bacterium. RNAcentral's name for it is "partial 16S ribosomal RNA". It matches the Rfam family "Bacterial small subunit ribosomal RNA", at positions 28 to 507 of the family's 1533-position model. The record is from RNAcentral.